RNAcentral lists this long non-coding RNA (333 nucleotides) under Phaseolus vulgaris (common bean). RNAcentral describes it as "long non-coding RNA (PVUL_LNC004050)". The record is from RNAcentral. Lineage: Eukaryota; Viridiplantae; Streptophyta; Magnoliopsida; Fabales; Fabaceae.
UCACUCUAAUGAAAAAAAUCAAGAUAGAAACGAAGCGAGAAAACUCACAGUAGAACGAGGCACAACUCUGUUGCGGAAGCAAAAACGAGGGUUUGCCAACGCCGAAAGCGUGGCCGCGAGGCUUGUUCCUCCGCAAUCCCAAUCCGCCACAAAGAACCUUGAGCCACGAAACACGAAUUAGCUACUGUAAAUGGAUUGAAAACGAAAGGAAAUGUGAAACUUACGGUGUUAGGGCACAAUGCUUGAAUGCUCUCUGUCGCAAUGCUUGAAUGCCUCUGUCAUCGCAAUGCUCGAAUGCCUCCGUCGUCGCAAUGCUGGACUGCCUCUGUCGUC